Molecule: long non-coding RNA, 369 nt
Filed under: Nicotiana benthamiana
Lineage: Eukaryota; Viridiplantae; Streptophyta; Magnoliopsida; Solanales; Solanaceae
Description: long non-coding RNA (NBEN_LNC028903)
Source: RNAcentral
ACACCCCUUUCUGUCAGAGACCAACCCUCAAACCCUGGUAGCCGCCUCAAAAUCACACCACUAUCCGGUGGCGGAGCCACCUCCAAACACCCCCCAAACUAACACCCCAUGACCCUCUCAUUUCCCUUUUUCCAAAUCCCCACCCCGUUUCCCUCGAACAUGGCCAGAACUCUUCGAAUCUCAAAUCUAGGGUUCAAGCCCUGAAAGUCAUCGAAGUUCAUUCAUGCAAAGACAUCCCUCGAGGUUUUCUUAGCGUUCAUGGUCAUUUUGGUCCUGAAAUAAUGUUUUUCACUUGUUCUUGGAAAAGAACAAGCGGAUGACAUUAUUUGGGGAUUAAAUUAGAAGGUUAGUCAAGUUAGAGCCCUGAAU